RNAcentral lists this ribosomal RNA (460 nucleotides) under uncultured bacterium. Its description in RNAcentral is "partial 16S ribosomal RNA". It matches the Rfam family "Bacterial small subunit ribosomal RNA", at positions 338 to 795 of the family's 1533-position model. The record is from RNAcentral.
CCUACGGGUGGCAGCAGUGAGGAAUAUUGGUCAAUGGACGAGAGUCUGAACCAGCCAAGUAGCGUGAAGGAUGACUGACCUAUGGGUUGUAAACUUCUUUUAUAUGGGAAUAAAAUGUUCCACGUGUGGGAUUUUGUAUGUACCAUAUGAAUAAGGAUCGGCUAACUCCGUGCCAGCAGCCGCGGUAAUACGGAGGAUCCGAGCGUUAUCCGGAUUUAUUGGGUUUAAAGGGAGCGUAGGUGGAUUGUUAAGUCAGUUGUGAAAGUUUGCGGCUCAACCGUAAAAUUGCAGUUGAAACUGGCAGUCUUGAGUACAGUAGAGGUGGGCGGAAUUCGUGGUGUAGCGGUGAAAUGCUUAGAUAUCACGAAGAACUCCGAUUGCGAAGGCAGCUUACUGGACUGUAACUGACACUGAGGCUCGAAAGUGUGGGUAUCAAACAGGAUUAGAUACCCUAGUAGUC